UACGUAGGUGGCAAGCGUUAUCCGGAAUUAUUGGGCGUAAAGAGCGCGCAGGUGGUUAAUUAAGUCUGAUGUGAAAGCCACGGCUUAACCGUGGAGGGUCAUUGGAAACUGGUUGACUUGAGUGCAGAAGAGGGAAGUGGAAUUCCAUGUGUAGCGGUGAAAUGCGUAGAGAUAUGGAGGAACACCAGUGGCGAAGGCGGCUUCCUGGUCUGCAACUGACGCUGAGGCGCGAAAGCGUGGGGAGCAAACAGG
This 252-nucleotide ribosomal RNA is filed under the name uncultured bacterium. RNAcentral describes it as "partial 16S ribosomal RNA". It matches the Rfam family "Bacterial small subunit ribosomal RNA", at positions 524 to 776 of the family's 1533-position model. The record is from RNAcentral.